UUUUUUUUUUUUUUUUUUUUUUUUGUUUUUACGCCUGGCCUAUUUCAGGGGAACGACUUUCCUUUCUUCAAGUUUUUGAAAUUAGGUUUUAAUGUAAUGAUAUUCCGAUGAAGAAAAUCUAAUAUAUUGAAUGUAUUUGGUUCGAUUUUUGAGUUUAUAGUGUUACUUUCUACCUUCUUCUUCCCGUUCUUUAUGAUCGGACUCCUUUUCUUUUAGUUUCCAGUUUGCACUGAUGUAUAGUUAUUGCUUGUGUUCAUCUUGUCCUUCAUUCAGUUAUCUGUUGUCUUGACGUUAAUACAUCACUUUGAUCAGUUGUAUUGUACGUCUGUUUUCUUAGCAAACACACUUUCGGUUGCAAUUGUCUUGUCUACUGCUGACCUUUAGCUAUUGCCAUUAUGUAAAUCCUUAUUCACAUGUUAAUUGUCUUAUCGGAUUAGUUAAAUCAAAAUUCUUUGCUAAUAAAGGAUCGGUUUGCUUUAUUCCUGUUCCCACUACCUUAAUAUUGGUAUCAUAUUGCUUUAAGAUGCGACAAUGAGGAGAUUUACUUUUCCAAGGAAAUUCAUAUAUCUCCGUCUUAGUGAAUGAGGAUUUAGUGGAGAGGGGACAAGUUGGCUGAGAAUGAUUGGUAAGAUAAUAUUCCAAUUUUAAUGUUGAACUAUGUUUUGGGACAAUUUUAAGCCUUUAAGAAUAAUGGUUUGUGGCAGAUGGUUGUUGUAUUUCAGAAGGGAAAGGGAGAAUGUGAUUGCCGUGCAGAAAUUCACAAACGCCUGUUGGAGAAAAGGGAAGCCUGGAAUUGGAGAGAAGUAAAAGAGAUUCAUUAACUUAGUGGUUAGCUUGUUUGAGCAGAUGACCUUCUGUGUAUUUUGAUUACUGAAAGAUAAAGAAAGUAUUAUAACAGGUGAAUCUACUAUGUUGAGAAUUUCAGUUGACAGUUCCUUUAGGAAGAGAGUGGGACGUAGAUAGAAGAAGAGAGAACCUUAGUUAUAUUCAAACUUGAAGACCCUCCAUAUCUCGAACUGGGCGGAAGCAAAUCCGACAAUCAGACAAAUGUUGCUGUGAACUAUUGGCAAACUCUAGGAAGCACGGAUACAGCAUGACAUUGACACGACAAGGGCACGUUUAUUAAAAUAUACACUCUAACAGUUAUAUAUCAUUUUUGUAUUAGAAGGGAAUUCAAAGUCAAUUAGUUUAUACAUCUAAAUGCUUAAAAAUUAGUUUGAUUUAUUUUACUUUAAGUGUUUGAUGCAUGUUUAACAAAGAUUGGAUCUACUUUGACUUUGUAUGACUAGUGUCUACUACAUCUAUUGCACUAACAAGUGUUUGGUACGUGUCUAACAAGUGUUGCAGUGUCAAGUGUUCGACACAUGUCAGACAUGGAUACGCUAGCCAUACUAAAGUGUUCGUGCUUCUUAGGAUAUACUCCUCAAAUACUGAAAUUAUUACUCAUUAUUCCCUUUAGUUUUUGUGUGAAAAAUUUUAGAUUUCAUCCUUAAAAUAGGAUUAUCUCGAUUGAACUUCUAUUCUUGAUCAACUUUGUUUAGCCUCACAUUUAUUUUAGAUUUGUUUUGUUCACUAAAAGGUAGAUAUAUUUGCUUGCUCGUGUAUUUCUUUUUGGGAUGGAAUAGUAGAGAUGUGUUGAGAGUUAUUUGAUAUGCAGAGCCCUGGGAUUGGAAAGGACCGGAUCUGGGAAGAAAACUUUAAAGCCAUAUUACACGGUAAAGACAGAGUUGGGAUGGCAGAGGUUAACAAAAUUCUCUCUCCCCAAUUCAAUGAUCCAAGUCUAAGAAAUAUGGAAAUGGAACGUCAAAAGGAUAUCAGGCAUGACAGCAGACGAGGGCAAAGUGGAUAGGCUCUUGCCAUUUUGUGCUGCAGAAGUGUACUUUUUGAGUUGAUGAAUGGAGUUCGAAGAUGCUCAGUGGUUUUGUUGGAGUGAAACUUGCAGCCUUUCCGGUGAGCCCCAUUUAACUAAUUCAUCUAUGAAAGACAUUUAAUGAAGUGUCUUUCUGAUACUUCCAUGUUUUGCUUUUCGUUCUUCUUGACAUCUUUAUUUCAAGUGCGUUAGUAGGUUGUUCUGACCUGAAAAUUAAGCAUACUUUGCUGAAUCUGGAAGAAUAGAUUAUCUUCCCUUUACUUUAUAGCAUCUGCUGAUCUGACCUGAAAUUUAUAGCCUUGAGUGCAUAAUCUAUCUGGAUUCUCUCUGGUUUCUUGUA
This is a long non-coding RNA of Cucurbita maxima (winter squash), 2210 nucleotides long. RefSeq lists it as uncharacterized. The record is from RefSeq and is a predicted model, not a curated record. NCBI's taxonomy places the organism in Eukaryota, Viridiplantae, Streptophyta, Magnoliopsida, Cucurbitales, Cucurbitaceae. The transcript is spliced from 3 exons.